This 128-nucleotide ribosomal RNA is filed under the name Amphilophus citrinellus (Midas cichlid). The record is from RNAcentral. Lineage: Eukaryota; Metazoa; Chordata; Actinopteri; Cichliformes; Cichlidae.
UUUACAGGCCAACCACCCUGAGAACGCCCGAUCUCGUCUGAUCUCAUCUGAUGUUGGAAGCUAAGCGGGGUUGGGCCUAGUUAGUACUUGGAUGGGGGAACACCCGGGAAUACUAAGUGCCAUUCAGG